This is a non-coding RNA of Drosophila melanogaster (fruit fly), 5739 nucleotides long. NCBI's taxonomy places the organism in Eukaryota, Metazoa, Arthropoda, Insecta, Diptera, Drosophilidae. The record is from Ensembl.
CGUAGUAGACGUUUAGGCGUCAACUAGUGCGCUUGGUGCUGCGCUUACACGUAAAGCACGCUCUGCUGAGGAGAACGCUGAAUUUGAAUCUUCAGAGGCCCAGGCUGAGACUGAGUCCUGCCAGGACCUCCUACACCACUAAACAACGACGGCGACAGCGACCAACUAACACCCAAACGUCGAGACCCACACUCAACAGUAAAGCUUAAUUUAAACAAAGACCAUUAAAUACAUAUUUCAAGUGACAGACUUGCAUUUCGACAGCCACACUAUUUUUUAAAAGAUCCUAACAUAAUCUAUAGAAUUCAACGAUACAAAAAGUGAUAAUGGUGUGCCAAAAAUUCAAAAUAAAUUGAUAUAAAAGUGUCGAGGCCCAAUGCCAAAAUAUGGAAAUGGCCAAGAGCUCUCUCUGCUAAAUAACUAAAUCAGUAAUUGAUUUUAAUGCGUUUUUCGAAAAUGUGCGCGUUAUAUAAAAUAUUUCCAUGGGUAUGUACUUGAUGUUGUAAUGGAAUAUACGUCUUCUAUGUAAUGAAAAUUUUUGAUGUGUCCUUUGAUGUCAAUGUCGUUGUUAUUUUCGUUAUUGUCGUUGUUAAAUAUUGUCCGAAGCAAAGCAACAAAAAUAUCAGACCCUUUGACCACGAUAAAGAGUAAUGAUGAUAUUGAGUGAGUAUGAACGAUAUUUUAUAUAAGUCAAUUACAAUUAGACUAGUUUUAAGUUCUAGAAGAUAAGUUUUUAAGUUUAAUUUUAAUUGACAAACCAAAAUAUUAACUUCAAUUGGCAAAGAAUCUCAAUUUAUUAAUCGUCUUUAAGCACACGAUUUUUCUGAUAAAAAUGAGUUUCCGCAAAGGUCAACAAGGUUAUCUAACCGUUCGUAAUGUUUGUAGUCACGUAGCUACCUUCAGAGAAUUCUUAUAUAAUAAUAAUAGGGGUUCUCGGAAUGGAGAUCUCUAAUGACCCAAAGAAAAAAAGUUUCUUGAUCAAACGAAAUUUGCUGCUGGAAUUACAAAUCAAAUGUUGUCCAAGCGGCUGGGAAAGAAAUCAAGUAUACGUCCAAGGGAAAACAGCAGAAACGGAAAAGUGCAAACAGAAAAGUUUCAACGAGCUGAAUUUGUACAACUCAUCAAAUAUUCCUUAGCCGGGGCCUGUGUGGGCGUGUGUUGAAACUACGGCAACUACAGGGCCAGCAAGGACAGCGCCCAGCACAGAGGACAUCGGCAACGCCGAGUCCUUCUGUUUCGAGGGAAUGAAAGGUUGCCAGUGGGGAGCGGGCAGCAUGUCGUAAAAUCGAGUUCAUCGUGAAUUCGAAACGAGAAGCCACAAACAGCAGGCAACCCUGCGAAUCUCAAGCACUCGCAGGAUGCUGGCUAUCCUUGCAAACACUCACACACACACACACACACACACAAAGUACUCCCACAUACACCAACAGACCGACUCACACACCAACACACUGAAGCGAGUGUCAUGCGUCGUACGCGAUGUCAAGGACCGCACCCAAAAAACUUUUUUCUCGCAACGCGAAUUUCUGACGAGCUCUGAGCUCUGAUGGACGGAUGGAUGGGUUUUGGGUGCCGCCAAUGCCAAUGAUUUGUAGGAGCAGCUUCUCCUUUCGCGGAGUGUGCACUGAACGAAAUUGUGGUUCAAAGUCGGAGGGUUUAAGAUUUUCAAAAGUAUUUUCAUAUACACUCAUUUAUUCAAAUAGGAAUUGGACUAAUUCUGUGAAUUUCAAUGUGAUGAUGAAAGGAAAGUGAUUAAUUUAAAAUGAAUAUUUUUAUUAGAGAUUUCACAUAUAAGAUUUAGACAAGUUAAUUAAUAGGAAGUGAUAAAAUACAUAAUUUUUAGGAUACAAUGGUGAAGGGUUAAAAAUUAAGUUCAACAAAGAAAUUAUUUGUUAGGGAUUUCUAUAUUAUACAAAUUUGUAUAAAUAUAUUUUUUAUGCUUUAAUAGUGUGGUGUUUUUAAACGAUAUGCUUAAAUUAUUUUGAUGAAAUUAAAUAAUGUUUUAAUAAUAUAUACAUAUUAGUAUAUAAUUUGAAGGUACAUUCCCGAUUUUUGUAGUGCAUACGCGAGUAUUAUUCGGCAAGUUACGUUAGUUAGCGGAAGGAAACAACAUUUUGAUGUGUCUCACAGCCUUCGUCUGCGAAGCCAAGGAAUUUUGUUCUUUCCAUAAAAACACAAGAGUGAAUAAAAUGCGAGAUUCCCGUGUUUUAUUAUCCUGCGCACACUUUAUUCAGCCGGCUCUUCGUUAUCUCUUACGCUCGGCUAGCGUACAAAUAUGUUCUGGCUACGUUUUUUGCUCGUUUUUCCGACUCUUCAGGGGAAGCUGGUUUUUACGAGUGCCUAGCCAUCACGGGUUCAUUCGCGCUGCUUUUUUGUCCAAUUCGUUUUUGGUUGUCUGCACUUGUUAGGACCUAGCUUUGUGCGUGUACAGCAAAUGGCUUUCAUGCACUUUUUGUCAGGUAGAAAAUAGUUCUAUUCAGUUCGCUUUGAGCAAAAAGUUCUUCAAGUCCUUCCAUGUUUUGGCUUUUUGUAAGCUUAAAGAUGGGAAAAAGUCCAGAGGACAGAUGGGUUUUUGAAAAAAAAUAUGACAAGAUUUAAAAUACACGUGGGUAUCUUAAACAAGCUUUCGAGUUUUGUAAUAUUUUAGAUUAGAUAUUUGUUGCGAGAAAAUCACUACUAAAUAAAUAGUAUUUCAAAUAAUUGCGCUACAAUAAGAAAAGUCUUACCUUAAGUAGUCGCCACAUUUGUUUCUGUAGCGGUUUGUGUUUCUUUACCUUAUUUUCACAAAAUCGAUCAUCACUUUAUUGUGGAGCAUUAAAUUAGUCGUGCAAAUAUUUACAUAUAAUGAAUUGCUUAAAAUAAGGGCAAGAAAAAAUCUAUAAGAUAAGCGCUAUGACCUCUAACACUUUCAUCCUUUCGCACGGCAAACAAGCUGGCUGACAUGUGAACAUCCUUUCCUUUAGACAUUGCUCCUCUGGGUGUCCUGCUGCCUGUCUGAGGCAAUAAAAGCCAGAAGAGGACGCAAAGCAGAAGCGAAACCAUUGACAUUAAAAUCAUGCAUAAGUGCUCAUAUGGCGGCAAUGCGACAGUGAUGAUGCCACCAGGAACUACAACAAAGGGGGCUAAUUGCCAGGCAUUGAAAUAAAGUGACAGUGGGGCAGACAGUGAAAGAGAAAAGGGAGCCGCUUUAAAAAUGCCAUAAAAACCCAUUGGGAGAAUAGUCCUUUCCUUAUCGACGAUUAAAAAAGGCAAACAUAGAACACAUACUUUUAGAGCAAAAUAAUCAAGGAUAUGUAUUUUUAAAAUUAUUUUAAUAUUUUACUAAACGAAUAAUACAGUAAAUCAUAAUUCCAACUUUAAGUUAUGGAGAUUUUUUUUAUGAAUAUACAACAAACCUGGUUUGAAAUUUUUAAAGUCAAAACGGAGCUUACCUUAGAGAAGAAUUUUAAAAUGUUUGAAACUCUAAAUUAUUUAAAACAAAUAAUAUAUCUUCGUUAGUUCUUAUUAAAAUAUAAAUACCUUUAAGCUGAUUUAAUAAAUUAAUAUGUACUAAAUUUAAUCCCAAUUUAUAUGUAUAAGUCUUGCAUAACAUAAAUAUAGCAAAAACCCGUUAUGAGAAAUCUAUGAUCUCAUCGUUCGCGUCGCUGGGUUAUUGCCAUUACAUAUGCAUAUUUUAUUUUUGUAUCUUUUGUAUCUUGCCCAAUGAAGCGAAUUCUAGGGCGGCUGGCAAUCGAUAAAUGCCAUCAAAAAAAUAUGAAAUGCCGCUGACAGACGAAGCGAAUAACUUAAAUAGCUACAGCGAGGACAUAGGGUAAAAUCUAUGAAGCCAAGGCUGCUGGGAGUUUGUCAGCUGUUUUAAUUUCCAUUCAUUGGCACGAAGGCAGCUGGCUGACACUUUCCACAGCUGAUUGCAUGCAAUUUUCAUUGUCGCCGCUUUGGGCGCCAAAUGCGAUGCAGGAAAAACGCUCAGGGGCAGAUUUUCCCUCAACCUAUUGUCCCUUCAAUGUGAAUGUGUGUCACGGGCCACGGGGUCCACCGUUUUCUUUACGGCCGCCUAUUCAGCUUGCUGUUUGCCGAUCAGCUGCUGCAAGACAACAAUGCACACAAUGCCGCUUUAUUUUCCAUCCCCAUCCCCAUUUUCCACUCCAGCCGCCUUCUGUCCUCUGUGCGAUUUUCCUCUGUUGUGCAUUUUCCAGAUGCAACCGGGAUUUCUAUCGGUCUGUGUGACUGAUUCGCCGUUUCGGUGUGUGUGAGAGCGUUUGAAAAAGGGAUAUCGAUCGGAAAAGCGAUUACACUUUGAUUUAUAGCUGAUUAAUUAUUCACAAAUGUGACUAAUAUGGCUGAAUAAAUAAUAUAUUCAGCAAAUUGUUUGAGAAUAAAAAAAGUAGUAUUUUUUAAGAACUCAUUAUACUUAAAAGGAGUGGGAAACCAGAACUAGGUAUAUCAAUAUUUUUGUAACGAACACAAUUCAUCAUACGCAAAUUUUCAUCUAUAAAAGAUUUAUAUACCACAUUAAUUUUAUAGUAUAGUAUUUCGAUACAGAUAUUAAAGUAUUAGGCAAUGACAUUCAUAAGAACAUUAAUAUAUUAUUUGAAUAUAUAAUGUAGUACAAAAAGUAGCUAUUUUGUUAUCUUACCAUAAGGACCAUAUACCAUAUCAGAUUAAUUAUAAUUCGCAUAGAGUAAGCUUAAAUUUCGUUUAAUAUCCAAACCACCAAUUUAGCUUUAUCAAUGUAUUACAAUCAGCUCAAAACCAACUUAACGGCAGCCCAACAAUAUGAGACUGUAAACAUAAUGACAUCGCGGCAUCCGCGGGCUCAAUCACCUUUGACGCUGUACAGCUGCCACCAUUGGUGGCGAGGGGUAAAUCACGGUUCGCAUUCGAUGAGGAGACGGGCGCAUAAACAGGAUAUAAAAAGUGCAUUGGCAGCGCUAUAAAAAAAAAAAACAGAACGCAAAAGGAUACACACGACUCCCAUUCAGAUACGCACACAGAUGAACAUAAUCGUAAAAUCAGCAAGGAUAACAAAUAUGCCAGGCAAUCGGUGAAUGAAACCCACUGGCAGCUGGCCCGCCAGGACGAGAACGCAAAUUGAGCUAAAACCGGAUUUCUGGCCUAAACUCAGAGAGCGAAAGAGAGCGAGCGUGAGUCUGUGAUCUCCCUGGAAGAGGAUCGCGAGCGUGAUCCUGUUACCGUUCAUCCCCUAAAUGUGCCCUACACUUUCCAUCCCGAACGUGAGUACUUAAGGACAUGCCCGGUAUCGGGGUUCUUGUAUCGCAGCGCAUUCGCCAAUCCGGGCAGUUCGAUCGCGACUUUGGUGCCGCACGGAUCACCAUUCUGGGUGAUUUCAAAUAUUAAAGUUUGAAAUAGAAGAAAAAAAACAUUUAAAAGGAAGAUCGUGAGAGUUCAAACCGGUUCGGUUCUCGGUUUCACUUUCGUUCGGUGACCUCAUGCGGCUUCGAUUCGGUCAAGGAUAUUCUCGCCAUUGGAUAUUAUCGCAACUUCAGUGAGUUUCGUUGUUACAUUGCAUAACGACAUAAAGCCCAAGUGUCCUUCGUCAUUUGGUACGUUUUUCUCCUGGUAUCCACUGUAGGCCUAUAUGUAUUUCCACCAUAAGGCACGCGGUGAAUGCCAAGAGCGAACGCAGUUCUACAAAUUACUCAUACCCAAUAAUAGACAGAAAGUGUUUAAAAGCCUGAAAUCAUAAUAGACAAAUUUGAAAUAAUAAAGAAAUUUGCG